AUGUAAACAAACGAGCUGUCGUAAAAUUAUCUGAGAGUUUAUGAAUGAAAAGAAAACUGACAUUGUUUUGGUGUCAUCUGUGCUGUGUGGAAAGUGACCGCGCAGAGGUGACCACACACACUUUGGAGGCAGGAUCAAGUUAGCUAACAACUUGUAGCCAGCUGGAGUUAGCUAACGGCAGCUCGUUUUAUUUGUAUUUUGUUUAACCUUUAUUUAACUAGGCAAGUCAGUUAAGAAUAAAUGUGUAUUUACAAUGACGGCCUACCCCGGCCAAACACGGACGACUCUGGGCCAAUUGUGCGCCGCCCAUGGGACACCCAAUCACGGACGGAUGUGAUACAGCCUAGGUAACGUCAUAACUCUGUUAGGGUGGGUAUAAUUUGGAACGUUCCAACAGGAAAUCUGUUCUAAAAAAGUAAAGUACAAAGUUGCCAACAAUCAACGCAUACAAAGUAGCACGAUCAACUCACCACGUAGCUUAUUCUCAAUGUUUGUCUAUGGGCUACCAGAGUGAGGACAGACAUUUUCGGAAUAAACGUGGUGAGUGAAAGAUUGAAUGAUAUAGCCCUCUCCCUACCCGGUGUCUUAUUCCGCCACUAUACAACUCUGUAUGCGGUGUUUGUUGACAACCUUGUUCUUUACGAAGUUUUUGGAACAGAUUCUUGUUGGAACGUUCCACAAAUUAUACCAACCCAUUCUGUUAACAUUGUUUUUGUUACAUCUAGGCCUAUCGCCCCAUUGUAAAAAUAUAAGAAUACACUGUACAAAAUAAUUUAUUCACAGAAUUGUUAAAGCUACUGUAGCGUAAUAGCUACAGCUAAAGUUAACUAGCUAACUAACUAGUAGACCUAGUAUGUCGCGCGACAACAGCAAAAAGUUCCCUCUGCCGCGUUUUUUUUUUACCAAUGUUUAGUGACUAGUUUCAAUAUGCUUUACUUUCGUAACUCACCAAAGUAAAGUUGUUGCUAUAGUGCAGGCAAACCUUUCUCUGAAUGCCUCAAUGACUGUAUAUGAAGGUAUGCAUAGUAGACGACUGGCUCUUGUCCGUGCGCAUGCGUUGGAUGUACUCGCAGCUUGCAGUGCAUGUGCGUGGACCAGAGUUUGAUAACUUACUUGGCUAAUCAUUUGUAAGACUCUCUAGCCUGAGAACUAUGACCACACAUUGGGCUCAUACUAACCACUGGGAGAAACACAUUUCAGAUCUUUCCUGGAGUUGAAACUGCUCUGAGGAAGAGGUCCACAAGUGGUUGAAAGACUUCCAGAGAACAUCAGAUUUGACUUGGAGAAAAAGGGUACUUCUGGCUGAAGUGGACAACAACACAUGUUGUGGUGCAAUAAUGUACUUCAUCCCGAAGAGGUUGAUUCAUUCGCAACGAAGAGAAUCAAGAUCUCCAUAUGAAAGGAGGUUGCCUCUUUCAUGGGCGUUUACGGAAUGGCGACAACCACAGUCUGACAAGUGCUGAGGUGCUGAAGAGGAGAAAUGUGUCAGCGGACACCAUUGAGAAAUUGACAAAGCUGUUUGAAAUAGUCCACUCUCUUUCAUCAGCUCUAAACAUGAUCAAAUAGGAGUUGCAAGUGGAGUAUGGAGACAACCAUGUGCAUGCCUCUGUGGACUCCUCCAUUUGCCCCAGCUUCAAUUCUGCUACAAAUUAUACCACAAGCUUUUCAAAGAAGCAUGGGUUGCAAUCGUAUGUAGAGAACAAGAUUGAUGAUUCUCAUGAGAAUCUGGAUAACUGCAAUGAAGAAGAAUGUUCACCAGAAUGUUAUGUUUUCGACUGUGGCAACGUGUCUGAGGACACUGUUGUAAUCGAGUGUGCUCCCGUUUCUGAUGUAAACGGCUCAGGUACAUCUGGAAAACCAGCUGAGGGGGCGACGUUAGAGGAAGACUGGAUGGAGAUCUUUGAAGACCUCAAAAAGAAGAUGAGGGAGGAUCUUGUGUGUUUCAGGCCUAAAGUAGCAUCCUUUGUUUCCAGCUUCAAGAAGAUUAAAACAGACAGUGAACUCAUAGCCGCUCUAUCAAACUUUGGCAAAACCAACCCUGGACCAACAGCAAAGUUUCGCCAGGGACACGCACGCCCCGCAAAGAGCUCCAUAGGAGAGUGUGGACAUGGCACAUGCUGCUGGAAGAGGAAGGCACCCAAUUGAAUGUCUGUGUGUGGAAUAGCACAUGGACAUUGGGAGUACUACACAAAAUAAGCAAGUCAACAUCAGUGGCCCCAUGUGCCCAUCAUCCAACUGCUCACCAUCUGUGACCUUCAGUGCACUAGCGCUCUGCCCUCAAACACCCCCCAUCUGCCUACCACCUUUAUGUCAACUCCGCCUUGUACAAAACCAGUGGCUAUUUCAAUGCAUUGUGGCCUCUACAACACUAGAAUCAGUGGCUAUUUCAGUAUUGCAUUCUUGCCUUUUGGUUUUACGUUCAUUCAAUGCAAGACGUUUCUGCAAUUUCAUAUGUUUUGGAAAUUGAUUCCAUGUUUAUGGACCAUCAGACUUUAAAAAGCUGUUCUUCCAACCCAGUUGUAGAUCUACAGGCCUAUACUAUCACUGAACCAAAACAGUAGUUGUCAUGACUUUGCCGAGUCUUAAAUAUAAAAUGCUUAUUUAUAUUUUUUUAUAUACUGGUGUACGCUACCAUUAAAAAGUUUGGGGUCAUUUAGAAAUGUCCUUGUUUUUGAAAGAAAAGCCCCAUUAAAAUAACAUCAAAUUGAUCAGAAAUGCAGUGUAGACAUUGUUUAUGUUAUAAAUGACUUUUUAUUGUUGUUUUUUUAAUAGAAUAUCUACAUAGGCGUACAGGCCCAUUAUCAGCAACCAUCACUCCUGUGUUCCAAUGGCAUGUUGUUUUAGCUAAUCCAAGUUUAUCAUUUUAAAAGGUUCAUUGAUUAUUGCGUCAUCCGAAACAUGACCCGCCAGACCGCACUUCUUAACACCCACCUGCCAGCCACACCAAUGUAUCGGAGGAAACACUGUUCAACUCACUGUUCAACUACCGGGUCAGCCUGCAAGCACCAGGCCUGCCACAAGGAAUCGCUAGAGUGCAAUGAGCUUAGUAAAGCCCCCCCCCCGGCCAAACCCUCCCCUAAUAUGAUCACGGCCGGGUUGUGAUACAGCCUGGGAUCAAACCCGGGUCUGUAGUGACGCCUCUAGCACGGCAAUGCAGUGCCUUAGACUGCGGUGCAACUCGGGAGGCCUUAUAUAUAUAUUAUAUAUGUAUGUGUGUGUGUAUGGUAUGUGGACAUUAGGACUUGGUUAGUAAAUGUAAAAAUGUAGCAUUACAGUAAAUGUGUACAGAAAAUAAGUUGGCACACCUUGAUGUCCUCUACAUUAGACAUUUAUAAACAAG
Oncorhynchus tshawytscha (Chinook salmon) is the source of this 3340-nucleotide long non-coding RNA. The record is from Ensembl. Lineage: Eukaryota; Metazoa; Chordata; Actinopteri; Salmoniformes; Salmonidae.